Silurus meridionalis is the source of this 3394-nucleotide long non-coding RNA. RefSeq lists it as uncharacterized. The record is from RefSeq and is a predicted model, not a curated record. The transcript has 7 exons. NCBI's taxonomy places the organism in Eukaryota, Metazoa, Chordata, Actinopteri, Siluriformes, Siluridae.
UUGCAUUAAUGACAUAAUCAUACUGCUUUUGUAGUUCAAACUAAAUGUUGCAGUUCAUAUUCAAUUUCACCAAUCAGAGACAAGCUUUUCAAAUCCACAGGUAAUUGUCCAAUCGCAUGCUGGCAUAUAAAGUAUAUGAAAUAAACGACCUCUCAUAGACCCUUUUAGUGCCGAGGGCGUGAUGACGUCACGGCGCCAGCAGGAGGCGGCCUAUACAAACCAGCACAGGGAAAAGAUUCAAACCAGCACAGAGUCGAUUCAAACCAGCACAGAGUCGAUUUAAACCAGCACAGAGUCGAUUCACUAAGAACACAAACAUCAUCUUGUGCUGGAGUACAGGAUCUCAUUUUAAAUAUUAUCUCAUACCUGCUGCCAGAAGAACAAAAACCAUGACACAAAGAGCACAAUUCAUAUCAGAUGUGUACAAAGACUUAAUUGUAAAAAUGGGAUGCUUUUUAAGAGAGGAGAAGACAUCUGGAAGACCAGGACACAGCAAGGAAAAAACCUAUUGAGGCUGUCACAAGUACCUCAAAAUCUCAACCACAACCGCAAGUAUCUCAAAAUGCAGCGGAAGUUGCAACGGGAGAACUUUUUUUUUUUUUUUUUUUGCCUUUCAAGCUCUUCAGUUUGGAUGGGGAUCGUCAGUGCACAGCAAUUUUUUAGAUCUCUCCAGAUGUUCAAUCAGGUUCAAGUCUGGGGUCUGGCUGGGCCACUCGAGGACAUUCACAGAGCAACUCCUUUGUUAUCUUGGCUCUGUGCUCAGGGUCGUUGUUCUGUUGGAAGAAAAACCGUCGUCCCAGAGGUCGAGAGCACAGGUUUUCAUCAAGGAUAUCUCGGUACAUUGCUGAAAUCAUCUUUCUCGAUCCUGACCAGUCUCCCAGUUUAACAUUCCCACAGCAUGAUGCUGCCACCACCAUGCUUCACUGCUGUGCUGGAUAGUGACAGUGAACAAGAAGAUAAUGAUAGAAGAACAGAAUUUGAGAACAGCCUGCUGCAGGGGACGUCUCCCCAGAAAACUCAUGUAGUGCUUGAUGAUGAUGUUGUCAAAGCUUUGAAAGAUGUCAUUUUGACUUUCGUGAUGGGAGACAAAAAUAUUGAACUGAAGCUGAUAUGAGGCCUCACGUAAACGCACAGAGAAACUGGUAACCUAAAAAGAUGAUAGGAGGGCUUCACCAGUGUGGAUGAUUGUCCUGAUAGUGAUGCUGGUGCUGCUGCUGGUUGGUGCAGUGGGUGUAAUAAUCUAUCAGAGGAAGCGAAUUCAGUUCCUCCAAAGGAACCCUGACCAACUGAGAACCUCAUGAAACUACAGAAUGGUCUACACAAGCAGAACAAAUCAUCUUCUGAAAAUGUUCACAGCAUGAAACAGUGUGAGAAAGAGACUCAUAGAUAAUUAAUCUGUCCUCUCUCUCUCUCUCUCUCUCUCUCUCUCUCUCUCUCCCUUUAAUAUUGUAGAAAUGGUGAUGAAAUGGUAAAAGUCAAGUCAAGUUUACUUCUAUAGCGAUUUUCACAAUGGUCAUUGUCUCAAAGCAGCUUUACAGAAUUUUACAGUGAAGGUGAAUGGUGUGUGUUUAUCCCUGAUGAUGAAGACUGGUGGCGACUGUGGUGAAGGAAAAACUCCCUUAGAUGUUAUGAGGAAGAAACAUAACAUCUUGCGCUGGUACGUCUCUAGAUGGUUCUGGAUGUUCGGGAUGUUAUUAAUAAAUAAAUAAUAAAUUUAGCUGGAAAUCUUCAUUGUGUUUUGCCAUAUCCUAACGUACAUCACAAAUCAGAGGAAUAUCUUUCAAAUUUCACAAUAUGAUAUUUUCAUCAUAUUUCCCACCUGCUUAUUUUUGUGCUAUAAAUAUCAGCUAUUUGCAAAUAAACACAACAGUAUUUGUAUGUUUUUAUUUAGGGAGAUGUUUUUGCUGUUUAAGGCUGUUUACAAAAACAUCAGAAAAUAUUUAAAUCAUUUAACCUGUAAUAAAAAGGCUCUUUAUUAUUAUAUCUUUAUUAAAAUGCAGAUUAAAGUCUGCACCCGUUUCAUUAUUACAGAAAAUAACAGAAGCAGAAUAAAAUACAGAAAUGUCUGUAAAUAAUUUUUAAUAAAAAAGCUGAAAUUGUUCACGUCCAUAAGUAUUCUUUGGCAGCAGUUUCAGUCUUUUUGGGUUUAAAACAAAGAGCUUUACACACCUGGAUUGGGGGAUUUUCUGCCCCUCUUCAGGGAAAUCCUCUCUGGCUGGGGCAGGUUGGAUGGGAAGCAUCGUGGACAGACAAUUUCUAGUCUCUCCAGAGAUGUUCAGUAGGGUUCAUCUUGCCGUUUUUCUCGCACCACUCGGUAUUUAAGCAGACUGUUUUUAUUUAUUUAUUUUCUUUUUUUUUUAUUGAAAGACAAAAAAAAUGUACAAUCAUAUAAUGAAAUAUCAUAUAUAUAAUACUGAGAUUUUUUAAUACAUUUUUAAUUCAGCCUUGAAUUGAGAGAUAUCGGGCAUCCUUUCUGACCAUUUAUAUUUGUGUGUAUAGAACUUACCUAAUAAUAUUAACAAAUUUAGCAUAAAAAUAUGACUCUUAUCCAUAUCUUUUUUUAUUCAAAUAAAUAACAGCUUUUUUUGCUUAUCUCAAUUUUAAAACAUUCUCAAAAUUGUUCUUCCAGAAAUGUUUCAGAAACGAAACGUUGCGGGACAAUAAAUCAACCAUCUGAAAAAUGUAUUAUUACAUUUUCUAUCUGUAUCAAUAUCAAUACCAUUUAAUAAGACAAUAUUCAUCAGGAGCUAUUGGAAUACCACAUUUCUGAAGAAUUCAGUAUACAGUAUGUAAGUAAAUAUCCUUCAUUUUUUUAUCAAUUACGAGACCAUUACAUUUUAAAUUUUUAACCCAAUUUUAUAGAAAAUGUAUUUGUUGUUAUAUUUAACAUUUUUAUUAUUCCAUAUUAGUUAGAUAAUGGGUAAAUAUGUUUGUAUAUAAGUACCCAGUAUAAAAUAACCUGUCUAUGAAAAAAUUAGAUAACUGAAUGGGUGGUUUAUUUACUUUAAAAUUACAUUUGAAAAGGAACUCUAUUCCCCCAACUUUUUAAAAAACAUGAUUUGGAGUUAUGUACUGUAUCUUAUUUUAUGUCUAAUGUAAUGUUAAAUUAUGAGGUUUGUUUGUCCAUAUAAAGUUGAAUAGAACUGAGUUGAUUUGUUCAAGAAAAGAUUAUGAGAUAGCGGUUUUGGAUAAAAGAUUCCUACCUUUUGAGUGAUAAAUCCAUCAUGAGACACAUAAUAAAUGUUUUUUUUAAUCAGAUUUUUAUAGCUAUUGAUACCAAGAUAAGUUACUUCUUUCUUUAAUGGAAUACCUUCAAAUUCAGCAAAAGUAAUAUCAUUGUCUUUGAGUGGAAAAGCGUAGAUUUUUUUUUUUAAUAUUUAAAAUUAAACCUGAC